UAAUUUUUAAUUUGAUUUGAAUUAAUUAUUUUACUUUUUUUUUUGCUUAUUUAUUUAAUUUUUAAAUUAAUGUUUAAAGGAUUACUUUUGUUUUAGUUAAUUUUUAUUGUGAAAGAUUAUUUUUUAUUGUAAAGAAAAAGAAAUUUUUUUGUACCUUGUGUAUCAGGGCUGACUAAAUUAUAAAAUUUAUUUUUUUAUCCCGAAUUGGAAUGAGCUAUAUUUUUAUUUAUUUUAAUGUUGAAUAAUUAUUUAUAAUUGAUCUAUUGAAAUGAAACGUUAUUCGUUUUUUAAUAUAUCUGGUUUUUGAUUAAAUAAAUUUAAUUUAGAUUUUUAAUAUAAAUUAUAUUUUACUUUUUUUUUUAUUUAAAUUUUUAAUUUAUUGGGGGACAAGCUUUGAUGAAUAUUUCUAUUAAAUUUGGUUUUUAUUUUAUUAUUAGGAUUAAUAUUUUCUAAUUUUUUAUUUUUUGUAAAUUUACAAAUUUAAGUUUAAUUUUUUUUUGUUUAUAGAUUUUUUAUUCAAUUUUUUUUAUUAAUUUUGUUUAUUAGGUAAUAAUGGUUUGAUUAGUAGAACUAUUUGUGUAUUGUUUAUUUUGAGUUAUGUUAUUUAAAGUAAUUCGGCAAAUUUGUUUCCCACCUGUUUAUUAAAAACAUGUCUUUUUGGAUUAUUAAAAAGUCUGGCCUGCCCAAUGAUAAUUUGAAUGGCCGCGGUAUUUUGACCGUGCUAAGGUAGCAUAAUCAUUAGUUUUUUAAUUGAAGACUGGAAUGAAAGGUUUGAUGAGGAAAUUUCUGUCUCUAUAUAAUUUUUUUUGAAUUUUAUUUUUGAGUAAGAAAGCUUAAUUUUUUUUAAAAGACGAUAAGACCCUAUAGAGUUUUAUUUAUUUUUUUUUUUACUUUUUUUGUAAAUUAUUAAAUUAAAAUUUACUUUAAAUUUGGUUGGGGUGAUCGGAAAAUUUUAAUAACUUUUCUUUUUAUUUACACAAAUUUGUGUUAUUAUGAUCCAUAAUUUGUGAUUUUAAGAUUAAAUUACCUUAGGGAUAACAGCGUAAUUUUUAUUGAGAGUUCUUAUCGAAAUAAAAGGUUGCGACCUCGAUGUUGGAUUAAGAUAAAAUCCUGUAGCAGAAUUUGGGAUAUUAAGUCUGUUCGACUUUUUAAAUCUUACAUGAUCUGAGUUUAGACCGGCGUGAGCCAGGUUGGUUUCUAUCUUUAAAAAUUUAAUUUGCUUUAGUACGAAAGGAUUGGGUUUAA
RNAcentral lists this ribosomal RNA (1245 nucleotides) under Chalcophana sp. N69. RNAcentral describes it as "12S ribosomal RNA". The stretch from base 1034 to 1192 matches the Rfam family "Archaeal large subunit ribosomal RNA", at positions 2542 to 2701 of the family's 2987-position model. Lineage: Eukaryota; Metazoa; Arthropoda; Insecta; Coleoptera; Chrysomelidae. The record is from RNAcentral.